This 463-nucleotide ribosomal RNA is filed under the name uncultured bacterium. Its description in RNAcentral is "partial 16S ribosomal RNA". It matches the Rfam family "Bacterial small subunit ribosomal RNA", at positions 28 to 507 of the family's 1533-position model. The record is from RNAcentral.
GACGAACGCUGGCGGCGUGCUUAACACAUGCAAGUCGAACGGAAAGGCCUUUUCGGAGGUACUCGAGUGGCGAACGGGUGAGUAACACGUGGGUGAUCUGCCCUGCACUCUGGGAUAAGCCUGGGAAACUGGGUCUAAUACCGGAUAGGACCGCACUUUAGUGUGUGUGGUGGAAAGUUUUUUCGGUGAAGGAUGAGCCCGCGGCCUAUCAGCUUGUUGGUGGGGUAAUGGCCUACCAAGGCGGCGACGGGUAGCCGGACUGAGAGGUUGGUCGGCCACAUUGGGACUGAGAGACGGCCCAGACUCCUACGGGAGGCAGCAGUGGGGAAGAUUGCACAAUGGGCGCAAGCCUGAUGCAGCGACGCCGCGUGGGGGAUGACGGCCUUCGGGUUGUAAACUCCUUUCGCCAGGGACGAAGCGUUUUGUGACGGUACCUGGAGAAGAAGCACCGGCUAACUACGUG